UGUAUACGGCCAUACUCGUGGCACACGCAGGCGAACCCAUUCCGAAUUCGCAACUUAAGCGCCCGUGGGCUUGGUCAGUACUGAGGUAGGGAUCACUCGGGAACCCCAAGUGCUGUAUAC
This 120-nucleotide ribosomal RNA is filed under the name Cryptomonas curvata. Lineage: Eukaryota; Cryptophyceae; Cryptomonadales; Cryptomonadaceae. The record is from RNAcentral.